This 576-nucleotide ribosomal RNA is filed under the name Triticum aestivum (bread wheat). Its description in RNAcentral is "partial small subunit ribosomal RNA". The record is from RNAcentral. Lineage: Eukaryota; Viridiplantae; Streptophyta; Magnoliopsida; Poales; Poaceae.
AUGAUGAGUACCGAGUCCAGGAACAGGAGCGACAUCGACCCGGAGAACGUCAUCGUCGUCACACUCGACGAUCUAUCAGAAGAUGAUCGCCAGGAGCUUGAAAAAGAGCUUAAGAAAGAGAUGGCCGAGCGACUAAAAUUGAAGUUGACUGGAUACUGCAAGACAAGGAUCGGCAUCGUCAAGAAGGUGCAAUCGGCCAUUAAUGAAGGACGAUUGAUGUUUACAGAAACUUCUAAGAUGAAGCUCGAUACUGACGCUUUUCCUAUCAAUGUGGUCGAGCUUGAGAGUAAGAAAAUGCUUAUUCGGUCGGAUCAGACCGAAUCCGCAAGAGAGAGAAAUGUUGUUUAUGAUAAUGCUUCUCCAAGGAUGAUCAAACGAAAAAAUCCAGAAGUAGGAGUGCGGAAAGUCAAUGGGAGAAGGAAACAAGCUCCAAGACCAAAGUCGUCAGUUAGCAUGUUGUUGGGAAAAUACACCUCGCACAAGGCCAGCAAUGUGUUUAACCGGCUUGGAGGGAAUAUGCAUCCUAGAUCUCCUUCUGGACCUGGCGGUUGCGAGAAAUGGCAAAGAAAUUUAUGA